CGGGGACAGAAGGGAGCUUGCUCCCGGAUGUUAGCGGCGGACGGGUGAGUAACACGUGGGUAACCUGCCUGUAAGACUGGGAUAACUCCGGGAAACCGGAGCUAAUACCGGAUAGUUCCUUGAACCGCAUGGUUCAAGGAUGAAAGACGGUUUCGGCUGUCACUUACAGAUGGACCCGCGGCGCAUUAGCUAGUUGGUGAGGUAACGGCUCACCAAGGCGACGAUGCGUAGCCGACCUGAGAGGGUGAUCGGCCACACUGGGACUGAGACACGGCCCAGACUCCUACGGGAGGCAGCAGUAGGGAAUCUUCCGCAAUGGACGAAAGUCUGACGGAGCAACGCCGCGUGAGUGAUGAAGGUUUUCGGAUCGUAAAGCUCUGUUGUUAGGGAAGAACAAGUGCAAGAGUAACUGCUUGCACCUUGACGGUACCUAACCAGAAAGCCACGGCUAACUACGUGCCAGCAGCCGCGGUAAUACGUAGGUGGCAAGCGUUGUCCGGAAUUAUUGGGCGUAAAGGGCUCGCAGGCGGUUUCUUAAGUCUGAUGUGAAAGCCCCCGGCUCAACCGGGGAGGGUCAUUGGAAACUGGGAAACUUGAGUGCAGAAGAGGAGAGUGGAAUUCCACGUGUAGCGGUGAAAUGCGUAGAGAUGUGGAGGAACACCAGUGGCGAAGGCGACUCUCUGGUCUGUAACUGACGCUGAGGAGCGAAAGCGUGGGGAGCGAACAGGAUUAGAUACCCUGGUACUCCACGCCGUAAACGAUGAGUGCUAAGUGUUAUGGGGUUUCCGCCCCUUAUUGCUGCAGCUAAUGCACUAAUCACUCCGCCUGCCGGAGUAGGGUCGCAAGACUGAUACUCAAAAGAAUUGACAAGACCCCGCACCACACCUGUAGCGUGUGAUUUUAUUCAAAUCAACGCGACGAACAUACCUCUCCUGGUCUGCGGCUACAUCUUACACAUAUAUUUUGCUUCUUCACGCAGAGAAAAAGCUACAUGUUGUGCAUGUUCUCCUCCCGAACAUGU
This 1021-nucleotide ribosomal RNA is filed under the name Bacillus sp. (in: firmicutes). RNAcentral's name for it is "bacterial SSU rRNA". It matches the Rfam family "Bacterial small subunit ribosomal RNA", at positions 63 to 1065 of the family's 1533-position model. Lineage: Bacteria; Bacillati; Bacillota; Bacilli; Caryophanales; Bacillaceae. The record is from RNAcentral.